Molecule: transfer RNA, 75 nt
Filed under: Candidatus Roizmanbacteria bacterium RIFCSPHIGHO2_01_FULL_38_15
Lineage: Bacteria; Candidatus Roizmaniibacteriota
Also listed under: 2 other names
Description: tRNA-Ile
Rfam family: tRNA
About the family: Transfer RNA (tRNA) molecules are approximately 80 nucleotides in length. Their secondary structure includes four short double-helical elements and three loops (D, anti-codon, and T loops).
Source: RNAcentral
GCGCCCGUAGCUCAGUGGUAGAGCGCUACUCUUAUAAAGUAGAUGUCCUUGGUUCGAAUCCAAGCAGGCGCACAA